AUUGAACGCUGGCGGCAGGCCUAACACAUGCAAGUCGCACGAGUGGCGGACGGGUGAGUAAUGUCUGGGAAACUGCAUGAUGGAGGGGGAUAAAUACUGGAAACGGUAGCUAAUACCGCAUACCAUCGGAUGUCCCCAGAUGGGAUUAGCUAGUAGGGGGGGUAACGGCUCACCUAGGCGACGAUCCCUAGCUGGUCUGAGAGGAUGACCAGCCACACGGAAACUGAGACACGGUCCAAACUCCGACGGGAGGCAGCAGUGGGGAAUAUUGCACAAUGGGCGCAAGCCUGAUGCAGCCAUGCCGCGUGUAUGAAGAAGGCCUUCGGGUUGUAAAGUACUUUCAGCGGGGAGGCGUUACCCGCAGAAGAAGCACCGGCUAACUCCGUGCCAGCAGCCGCGGUAAUUC
This 406-nucleotide ribosomal RNA is filed under the name uncultured bacterium. RNAcentral's name for it is "partial 16S ribosomal RNA". It matches the Rfam family "Bacterial small subunit ribosomal RNA", at positions 30 to 526 of the family's 1533-position model. The record is from RNAcentral.